GGCUUAGUGGUCCAAUGGUAGAGCGCUCGUCGCGGAACCAGAGGGUCCUUAGGUUCGAUCCCCAACAGGGUCG
This 73-nucleotide transfer RNA is filed under the name Schistosoma japonicum. Its description in RNAcentral is "tRNA-OTHER". The record is from RNAcentral. Lineage: Eukaryota; Metazoa; Platyhelminthes; Trematoda; Strigeidida; Schistosomatidae.